GAUGAACGCUAGCGGCAGGCCUAAUACAUGCAAGUCGGACGGGAUUCAGGAGCUUGCUUCUGAUGAGAGUGGCGCACGGGUGCGUAACACGUAUGUAACCUACCUUUAUCAGGGGGAUAGCCUCUCGAAAGAGAGAUUAAGCCCGCAUAAAAUCACAGCACAGCAUUGUGUAAUGAUCAAAUAUUUAUAGGAUAAAGAUGGGCAUGCGGAACAUUAGCUAGAUGGCGGGGUAACGGCCCACCAUGGCGACGAUGUUUAGGGGAUCUGAGAGGAUGGCCCCCCACACUGAUACUGAGACACGGACCAGACACCUACGGGAGGCAGCAGUAAGGAAUAUUGGUCAAUGGGCGGAAGCCUGAACCAGCCAUGCCGCGUGCAGGAAGACGGCCCUACGGGUUGUAAACUGCUUUUAUACGGGAAUAAACCCAGAUACGUGUAUCUGGCUGAAUGUACUGUAAGAAUAAGGAUCGGCUAACUCCGUG
Molecule: ribosomal RNA, 482 nt
Filed under: uncultured bacterium
Lineage: Bacteria
Description: partial 16S ribosomal RNA
Rfam family: Bacterial small subunit ribosomal RNA
Source: RNAcentral